CAGCUUGUGGUCUAGCGGUAUGACAUCUUCUUAGCAUUGCCGUCGUCUCGACAGUGACCCUAAGAUGGAGAAGGUUCCCGGUUCGACUCCGGGCUAGUCCA
Non-coding RNA from Zasmidium cellare ATCC 36951, 101 nucleotides. NCBI's taxonomy places the organism in Eukaryota, Fungi, Ascomycota, Dothideomycetes, Mycosphaerellales, Mycosphaerellaceae. The record is from the annotation of a RefSeq genome assembly.